Molecule: ribosomal RNA, 674 nt
Filed under: uncultured Bacilli bacterium
Lineage: Bacteria; Bacillati; Bacillota; Bacilli
Description: bacterial SSU rRNA
Rfam family: Bacterial small subunit ribosomal RNA
Source: RNAcentral
CUUGGUGCUUGCACCGAGCGGAUGAGUUGCGAACGGGUGAGUAACGCGUAGGUAACCUGCCUCUUAGCGGGGGAUAACUAUUGGAAACGAUAGCUAAUACCGCAUAAAAGUCGAUAUCGCAUGAUAUUGAUUUGAAAGGUGCAAUUGCAUCACUAAGAGAUGGACCUGCGUUGUAUUAGCUAGUUGGUGAGGUAACGGCUCACCAAGGCGACGAUACAUAGCCGACCUGAGAGGGUGAUCGGCCACACUGGGACUGAGACACGGCCCAGACUCCUACGGGAGGCAGCAGUAGGGAAUCUUCGGCAAUGGGGGCAACCCUGACCGAGCAACGCCGCGUGAGUGAAGAAGGUUUUCGGAUCGUAAAGCUCUGUUGUAAGAGAAGAACGAGUGUGAGAGUGGAAAGUUCACACUGUGACGGUAACUUACCAGAAAGGGACGGCUAACUACGUGCCAGCAGCCGCGGUAAUACGUAGGUCCCGAGCGUUAUCCGGAUUUAUUGGGCGUAAAGCGAGCGCAGGCGGUUAGAUAAGUCUGAAGUUAAAGGCUGUGGCUUAACCAUAGUACGCUUUGGAAACUGUUUAACUUGAGUGCAGAAGGGGAGAGUGGAAUUCCAUGUGUAGCGGUGAAAUGCGUAGAUAUAUGGAGGAACACCGGUGGCGAAAGCGGCUCUCUGG